GGCCAGUAAUUUGUGCUGCUUUUCGCUGUUCUCUUCCGCUUUUAGAUGUUCAAAUGGUGCUUGCAACCAUCUUUGCAGCUGCAGUGAAACUUUGUCUAGAUUGAAAUAAGAUCUAAAGAUGAGAGUUUAGAUCCCGAUGUAAAUGUUUCAUUAUCUCAAUAAAACGGGAGGGAUAUGCCCUCUUUUCGUUAUCUACUGGUGUUUAGGCAGACACCGCAGACCAUCAAGUCAAUGCUUCAACCCGAACUUCCAAACUUUCUCCACCCAACACUGUCUUGGACUACUGAUAAACCCUCGGUGAAACCCAAUUGAUUCUUGUUGACUGAUUUCUUCAUCCUUUUCGCUGCAGAUAAAUAGUGGUCAUGGAUUCUUGUAGGGACAUGAUCCUCCAAACUCUUGGCAUUGAAGAGAGUGUUGGAGAUAAUUAUGGAGAUCAUCAUGGAGAUAAUCACGAAGGAGCAAAACAUGGAAAUACAAAUCAUGACAGAAUAUUAUACAGCUAAAAUUAUGGUGUCUUUAUAUGGACUGUACAACAAUAGAAUAAUCAUGAAGGAACAAAAUAUGGAAAUACAUCAUGACAGAAUAUCAU
RNAcentral lists this long non-coding RNA (589 nucleotides) under Phoenix dactylifera (date palm). RNAcentral describes it as "long non-coding RNA (PDAC_LNC015024)". Lineage: Eukaryota; Viridiplantae; Streptophyta; Magnoliopsida; Arecales; Arecaceae. The record is from RNAcentral.